CAUGAUUCUAUGGAACCAGGAAGCGACAGCCACGACGAGAGGAGCACUUGAUGGGCCAUGUCGCUUUCUCUUUAUACAUGCACGUCAUGGUCAUGUAUCCAUCAACUCAAUAGGGCAACCCUGAUUUAAAGCCUCGUUUCAUUGUAUCAAUCACUUGCAUUCCCCCACUACUCCUCUUAACAACAUUCAAAAUAAUAUGCU
RNAcentral lists this long non-coding RNA (201 nucleotides) under Vitis vinifera (wine grape). Its description in RNAcentral is "long non-coding RNA (VVIN_LNC003857)". The record is from RNAcentral. Lineage: Eukaryota; Viridiplantae; Streptophyta; Magnoliopsida; Vitales; Vitaceae.